Long non-coding RNA from Papaver somniferum (opium poppy), 2546 nucleotides. RefSeq lists it as uncharacterized. The record is from RefSeq and is a predicted model, not a curated record. The transcript has 4 exons. Lineage: Eukaryota; Viridiplantae; Streptophyta; Magnoliopsida; Ranunculales; Papaveraceae.
CAUUCUGUAACGGAUGAAAAACCAUAACCAAGCUCUUCAAUUUCAAGAUUUCUCUGCAACAGUAGGCGAUUUUAGGGGAGAUUUUUUUUACAGUCCAUGGCCUUUUCAUAUUCAUCUUUCCGAUUUCUGUUAUCCAUUCCUCAUCUUAAGUUUCGUAAUUAAACGCUUAAAUAAACGGCAGCUUUCAAUUGAUUUUUCUCUACAAAUGGUCUGAUCCAUUUCGAAUGGAGCAUCAAUUCAACCCAUUCUACACGUACUGAAUGUGUUUUUUCAUUGGCGUAGGUUCGUAAAUCCACAUCAAAAUGGCAUCGCAGGUCAAAUGAAACCCACCAAAGGUAGGCUUCCCAGCCACACAGGAUAACUUCAAGUGUGGAUAUGGUUAUCGUUAAUGGGGAGGUAUUCAUACAAACUGUUUCCAUUUAGUUUGUUGGACUGUAUUUAGUCGAUUCUGUUUAAGUAUAGUGUUAAAAUACCCUAUGAGGUGCUCAAAUAUACUGUUGAUCUAAACAAUUGAUUCCACGGGAGACCAAAUUUCAGCUCUGCUACUACCAAGUCCCAAGACUAACUCAUGAAUCCAACAAUUGAAGUUACAGUAAGUUCUUAACUCAUGAAUCCAUAUUUCAGCUCUUCUACUGCCACAAGGGUAAGGUUAAUUGAAAAUCACCAGUAAGUUAUUGGCGAUCUAUACCAUCAAUGUUCCAGAAAAGGUCAUAUCUUUAGUGUUUCUUCUUGCAGCUUGAUGUUUGUUUGUUCUUGGAUUAAUUGCAGGAUCUAAUUGAUUAAUAUUACAAUAACACUAUCAUCAAGGGAAUGGACAGUACCGGUGAAGAGCUUCAAAGCAACGGGUUGCCUUGGUGAUGGUUCAAAAAAACAGUAAAGCGGUUCAUCUUUUUCCCUUUAUCUUGCACCUCAACUCUAUAUCUUAUCUGUGAUAAAAAAAAUUGAAUGAAAAAUAAAUCCUACAAUAAGAUUCAUCUGUAAUUGUUAAUCAACUGUAUUGAUACAAACCUCAACAUUCCCUCAAUCACUUAGAUCCAGGCCUAUACCAAUAGGUAUCUUAGAUUUCAUCAGUAAGAGAUUCUAAGAAGAUGAUGAAAGAUUUAGAAUGGGUGCGUUUGAUGCGUUAAGUUUAUGUUUGUUCAUGUAUUGGUGGAGUUCCUUUAAGGGUGACUGUUAGGUAUCUUUCAAGCCUUGGUUCCAAUGUAAAAAUGAGAAGGAUGAAUCCUUUAAGGAAACAAGUUUUGUCUCAGGUGUUCAACAGUUACAGUCUCAGGGUAUCUUAAUUAGAGACAGUAUUUUUUAGGUAUAAUUUGACAUGUAAUGAUUGUAUAACUACGUUUUAGUUUAUCUAUUCAUCGCAUUAUUACACUAAUAAUGGAAUAUUCCAUGAAUUACAGUUAAUUAAACACAAUAGCUAAAUUGACAAAGGGAGAUCUAAUAAUAUAAUUUGACUGUUAGUCUAUUCCUGUUUCAAAGUAUCUUAAUUCAUUUGUAUCUGUCAUGAAUAUUGUUAGUCUUAUUACUAUGUAGACCCAUUUUUGAAUAUACCCAAAUAACCCAAUCAUCUCAGGUGUUUAAGCUUUGUCGAUCGGUUUAGUCCUCAACAAUUUUCAUGGAGUCGUCUUUUAAGUCUGUCUAAUUUGGUUUAUGUAUCACUUAGUUCUUUAACAAAUUUUGGUGAUGGUAACUUUUUACCAGACACACUACUGCGCUCUGCAUCUUCCAUUUAUGAUGUUAAUUGUAGAGGGCUGUCGAUAUUUCGUAACCAGACAAACUGUAGUCUUUGUAUCUCUGGAUAGUAAGAUCAGCAAAUGAAAUUGUUGACCCACUAUGAGCUCAGUUGCGGUGCGAAGGACCAAUUGCUAGACCUCACUAUUACAUGAGGGACCAAUUGCAAGACCCACUAAGAGUUUCAGAUACCAUUGUUUAAUAAUUUUCCUUAGUCGUUGCAGCCAAAUGAUGACAGGAAUAUGGAUGUCAUGAUGCUUGAUCUUGCACAAACAUGCAGAAAACAUUAACAAAUCUGCGGCCAUACUUUAAACUUAUUCAUUUUUGUAAGGUUUGUGCAUUGCAUCCGUCUCCCGCAUAUAGGCAUUAGUGCUACAACUGUAGCACAAUGCAAUUCAUAAAGAGUUGCUUUUCUGCAGUUUUAUUUUAAAUUCUAAUUGAUUAUUGGCUGCUGCCUUUUGUGGGGGCAUGGGCAAGUGCUACGUACAGGUAUGAAAGCAACGAGACUAAUUUGUCAUGCCGCCUUCAACUGUCAAGUCAAAGUAUCGCAAUACAAUUUAAUGGCUAAGUUCAGGCCAUCAAGAGGUCAUGGAGGUAGAGUAGUUUUCCAAGCUAUUUGCAAAUCAGUUCCAACAUGUAGAAGUCCACCCAGUUUCGACCAAUACAAAGGUUGUAGAUCCAGCAACCCAAGUCUGCAGUCCGUAGAAUAGCAAUGUCAGUAUAGCUCUGUUCAAUAUAACUUUCUUAGUUCAGUUGUGAGUUUGGAGUAUUUGUGACUUGGUUCAGAAUUUGUUGAGUUGAUUUAUCCUCCAAAAUUA